Long non-coding RNA from Dendroctonus ponderosae (mountain pine beetle), 1025 nucleotides. RefSeq lists it as uncharacterized. NCBI's taxonomy places the organism in Eukaryota, Metazoa, Arthropoda, Insecta, Coleoptera, Curculionidae. The record is from RefSeq and is a predicted model, not a curated record. The transcript has 2 exons.
CGUUACCUGUGUCAUCAAUUGGUCAGUAGAAUGACUCACUUUGACGAUGAAUUGACUGAUUUGUUUGAGGAAUGCGACACUCUAUACUAAACCUAUUUUUAACUAUUUAGUUUAUUGUGUUAGCAGGCUAGAAAAUAACAAUUCUUCUGGUGGCAGUUUCAACAAUUCUGGUGCAGCAUCAAUGUUUUCACUCUUUAAUGGUCGUUAGUUACAACUUACUCAUCUAAAUUUUAAUAUGCUUCCUCUUAAAAUUGAUAGUACCUGUGAUGGAUUGCAAUUUAACUGUUUGAUAGUCCUUGUGAAACAGCUAUAGAUGGUGUUUGAAGUAGAGAAAAUUCAUGCACUGAACCCAGAAAAUCUUGUUGCUUUAAAUUUAGAAGUCUAGUUUCUUUUAAUCAAACACUUUCAAUUUUUUUAAAGUACUUAGCUCUAAGCUAAUUUUUCCACAGUGCAAUUUAUCUAAAUCGAGGAUAACUGUCACGUUGAUCUAAGGUUUUGCUAAGUUUAGUAAUUUUGCUGUUGGUUUUAUUGACCAUAUAAAGUACGUUAGUAUGUGCUUCCUUAUAAAGUUGAUAUUUUGUGUAGAUUGGCUGAAGGCAAUUGUUAGGAAUAGAGCGAUUACAUUGAUUUUACAUUUUUCUGAAAAUCAUGCUAUUUCUCAAACAUAUUUCAAAAUUAAAAAACUUUCCACUUAUAUUAGAAAACAGCGCUUCUUUUACAUAAAAAGUAUGGCGAUUUUGUAUCCGGUUUAAUUAUUAAAGCAUUUGAAAGCAACGUACUGUAAAAAAAAUUCAAGAAUUUUUUCAUGCCUGCAUGUGUGUAUCAACCGUCCAUAGCAUUUAGAAUCACCCUAGAUAUAUGCAAAGUGAAACUAAAAUUCGGGUUUGGAAAAUUUAUUUUGUUUAUUUUUUGUUUAGUAUGUAAAGUUGAAUUGAAAACUGUGCAAAUAUGUUAGUUUCAAAAUUUGUAAUUUGCAGGAUAAAUGAGUUUAUCUUUGUCUUCUGAAUAAAUAGCGUAAUAAUGGG